This 460-nucleotide ribosomal RNA is filed under the name uncultured bacterium. RNAcentral describes it as "partial 16S ribosomal RNA". It matches the Rfam family "Bacterial small subunit ribosomal RNA", at positions 338 to 795 of the family's 1533-position model. The record is from RNAcentral.
CCUACGGGCGGCAGCAGUGAGGAAUAUUGGUCAAUGGCCGGAAGGCUGAACCAGCCAUGCCGCGUGAAGGUCAGUGCCCUAUGGGCGUUAAACUUCUUUUGUGCGGGAGCAAUAAUGGUCACGUGUGGCCAGACGAGAGUACCGUACGAAUAAGCAUCGGCUAACUCCGUGCCAGCAGCCGCGGUAAUACGGGGGAUGCAAGCGUUAUCCGGAUUUAUUGGGUUUAAAGGGUGCGUAGGCUGUGAGGUAAGUCAGCGGUGAAAUGCCCCCGCUCAACGGGGUGAAGUGCCAUUGAUACUGCCUGGCUGGAGUGCGGAUGCCGUGGGAGGAAUGUGUGGUGUAGCGGUGAAAUGCAUAGAUAUCACACAGAACACCGAUUGCGAAGGCAUCUCACGAAUCCGCGAUUGACGCUGAUGCACGAAAGCGUGGGUAUCAAACAGGAUUAGAUACCCGUGUAGUC